Molecule: ribosomal RNA, 645 nt
Filed under: uncultured bacterium
Lineage: Bacteria
Description: bacterial SSU rRNA
Rfam family: Bacterial small subunit ribosomal RNA
Source: RNAcentral
CGCGGCCUAUCAGCUUGUUGGUGGGGUAAUGGCCUACCAAGGCGACGACGGGUAGCCGGCCUGAGAGGGCGACCGGCCACACUGGGACUGAGACACGGCCCAGACUCCUACGGGAGGCAGCAGUGGGGAAUAUUGCGCAAUGGGCGAAAGCCUGACGCAGCGACGCCGUGUGAGGGACGAAGGUCUUCGGAUUGUAAACCUCUUUCAGCAGGGACGAAGCGGAAGUGACUGUACCUGCAAAAGAAGCACCGGCUAACUACGUGCCAGCAGCCGCGGUAAUACGUAGGGUGCAAGCGUUGUCCGGAUUUAUUGGGCGUAAAGAGCUCGUAGGCGGUUUGUCGCGUCGGAUGUGAAAACCCAAUGGCUUAACCUUGGGCCUGCAUUCGAUACGGGCAAACUAGAGUGUGGUAGGGGAAACUGGAACUCCUGGUGUAGCGGUGGAAUGCGCAGAUAUCAGGAAGAACACCGAUGGCGAAGGCAGGUUUCUGGGCCAUAACUGACGCUGAGGAGCGAAAGCGUAGGGAGCGAACAGGAUUAGAUACCCUGGUAGUCCACGCCGUAAACGGUGGGCGCUAGGUGUGGGGAUUGUUUCCACGAUCUCCGUGCCGUAGCUAACGCAUUAAGCGCCCCGCCUGGGGAGUACGG